Molecule: ribosomal RNA, 253 nt
Filed under: uncultured bacterium
Lineage: Bacteria
Description: partial 16S ribosomal RNA
Rfam family: Bacterial small subunit ribosomal RNA
Source: RNAcentral
UACGUAGGGGGCGAGCGUUGUCCGGAGUUACUGGGCGUAAAGGGCAUGCAGGCGGUCGUACGCGUUUCGGGUGACAGCGGGUGGCUUAACUACCCGAGUGUUCGAAAGACGGUACGACUUGAGGGCUCGAGAGGGACACGGAAUUCCGGGUGGAGUGGUGAAAUGCGUAGAGAUCCGGAGGAACACCGAAGGCGAAGGCAGUGUCCUGGCGAGUGACUGACGCUGAGGUGCGAAAGCUAGGGGAGCGAACGGG